This 253-nucleotide ribosomal RNA is filed under the name uncultured bacterium. RNAcentral describes it as "partial 16S ribosomal RNA". It matches the Rfam family "Bacterial small subunit ribosomal RNA", at positions 524 to 776 of the family's 1533-position model. The record is from RNAcentral.
UACGUAGGGUGCAAGCGUUAUCCGGAUUUACUGGGUGUAAAGGGCGAGUAGACGGUUUUGUAAGUCAGAUGUGAAAACUUAGAGCUCAACUUUAAGACUGCGUCUGAAACUGUAGAACUAGAGUGCAGGAGAGGUAAGCGGAAUUCCUAGUGUAGCGGUGAAAUGCGUAGAUAUUAGGAGGAACACCAGUGGCGAAGGCGGCUUACUGGACUGUAACUGACGUUGAGGCGCGAAAGUGUGGGGAGCAAACAGG